This 467-nucleotide ribosomal RNA is filed under the name uncultured bacterium. RNAcentral's name for it is "partial 16S ribosomal RNA". It matches the Rfam family "Bacterial small subunit ribosomal RNA", at positions 28 to 507 of the family's 1533-position model. The record is from RNAcentral.
GACGAACGCUGGCGGCGUGCUUAACACAUGCGAGUCGAACGGAAAGGCCCUGCUUUUGUGGGGUGCUCGAGUGGCGAACGGGUGAGUAACACGUGAGAACCUGCCCUUGACUUUGGGAUAACUUCAGGAAACUGGGGCUAAUACCGGAUAGGAGCUCCUGCUGCAUGGUGGGGGUUGGAAAGUUUCGGCGGUUGGGGAUGGACUCGCGGCUUAUCAGCUUGUUGGUGGGGUAGUGGCUUACCAAGGCUUUGACGGGUAGCCGGCCUGAGAGGGUGACCGGCCACAUUGGGACUGAGAUACGGCCCAGACUCCUACGGGAGGCAGCAGUGGGGAAUAUUGCACAAUGGGCGGAAGCCUGAUGCAGCAACGCCGCGUGCGGGAUGACGGCCUUCGGGUUGUAAACCGCUUUCGCCUGUGACGAAGCGUGAGUGACGGUAAUGGGUAAAGAAGCACCGGCUAACUACGUG